Non-coding RNA from Podarcis lilfordi (Lilford's wall lizard), 74 nucleotides. The record is from the annotation of a GenBank genome assembly. Lineage: Eukaryota; Metazoa; Chordata; Lepidosauria; Squamata; Lacertidae.
AUACAUACUAUAUACACAAACAUACAUACAUACAUUCUGUGUGUGUGUGUGUGUGUGUGUGUGUGUGUGUGUAU